CGGAAUCAGUUCGUCACCACCACCUCACUUGUCUGACAGCAGCUCCUAGUGAACUUUAAAAUUGAUUCUGACAACUGUUUUUUUUAACCUCAAGGCUGUGCCCCAGUUACCCAGAAAUGAGAAUUGGACCUUGAAGUAACAGAGCCCAGGCCAGUCAGGAGGGACAGGAGCACUUCCUUCUUCCAGGAAAGUCUUUUGCACAGCAAGGAGAUGACAGAAGGACACUUGACACAUAUAAGACUUCGUGAGGGAGAAAUAUAUUUAAAACAAUUCAGGAUCAUCUGCGUCUUCAAACUUGGACUGAAGUCUACACCACUGGCUCUCCAGCUCUUAGGUCUUUCAUGGACACCACUGGCCUCCCUGGGUCUCCAGCUUGCAGAUGGCAGGUCACGGGACUUCUCAGCCUCCAUAAUCGCAUGAGCCGAUACCUUAAAAUAAAUCUCUUUCUGGACAUAUUAUAAGGAAUUUUCAAACAGAGUCUGCGUGGUCAUUUGGCCGGGAUGUUGGAAAACCAAGCAAAGUAUUACUUGUCCACCCACACAACAAUACUACUGAGCUCCAUAGGAGGUUCAUGCUUUGGAAGGUGGAUACGAGUGCAUGUGAACAAGGAAACAUGCAGUUCCUGCUGCUGCUGGAAGCCCUCUGGCUGCCCUGAUGGAAGCCAACCUAAAAAACAAGCCGGCACAGAGGAAAGCAAGCUGAGAGAUCCAAGGAGAAACAGAAGAAAAGCUCGGACUUGACCCUGAUUGGACCCACUCUGCCUCUGAAUUUGUUAAUUAGGGCAGGAGAAAAACUGAAAAAAAAAAAAAAUGAUAGAAUGUGAUCAUUGCUGAUUCAUGAUCAAAAGAACACAAGCUGUUCCACUGAACCAGAAAAAGAGAAUGGCAGAACUCUUGAAUAGAAGACAGAUGCUACCUUAUUCAGAUAUUUCUGGGGAAAGGAAAAAAAAGAAAGAAAGAGAGAUUUGAAAUGCAUUUUUAGAAACUUCUGUUAGUUUCAUGAAAUGGAAACUCUUGGAGAACUGGAUUUGUCCACAUGGAGUCGACAAGUCUUCUCUUCCUGGGCUCAGUUUCAUCACCUGCAGCACACGAGGUCGUUGAACAGGAUGGGCUCUAAGGAUCUUUCUGUCUUUUACACUGUAUAAUGUUGAAUAUACUAAUUAUCCUGAUUUGAGCAACACAUAUUGCACACAGGUAUUGAUAUUAAACUCUGCACCCCACAGAUAGAUAUGUACAAUGAACUGUGUUUCAAAAAACCAACAAAAAACCAAACCCAAAACAAAAACUCCUAUGAUGUCUGUUCAAGGUCACUUAUCUUAAUCAAACUCUUCCUUCAGGUUACUCUCACCUUCACAUUUUGAUUUAUCUACGUAGUGACAUCCAGGGUAAAUUCUAAUCAGGAAAUAAAAGUUUGGUAUGGACUUUUCUUCGGAAUUAAAAACAAAAAAUGUGAGCACAAUAGAGGAAUGUAGGACUGAUUAUCAGAAGUGGAUCUACAGGAUGCAGAGUGUGGUAUUGAACAAGGUAGACUUCCUCAUUCAAAUUUAAGAAGAAAACCUUUCAGCAUUUUAACAUUAGAAAUAAAUAGGGCAAAGGUGAAAACAUUGAAACUUUCUAAUCAAAAAGAAUCUGGAAACAUAAUGAUUUACCUCCUGUCAUAGCGAGCAUGGUACAGCAAAUUCUGAAAUUUUGAGUAGAUCAAAAUUAUUGUGUGAUUGAGAAAUAAAGGAAAAAAAAGAUUCAUCUCUGUCUUUAGCUCUUUUUUAGUAAGAUACUAUUUUCUAAAAAAUUAAGAAAAAAAUCAAAUAUACAUAACUAAAGCACAAAUUAAGUAUUCAGAAGAAUAUUUAGAAAAGGGGUAGGUGAAGGGAAGAUGCACUAUGGAAAGAUCAUAGGAUUAAUAACAAAUGAGGAAGAACUAUAAUCCCUAAAGAAUUAAAAACUGUAAAUUACAUGAAAAAUAAUAUUGGUUAAACAGAGAAACAAAAAGAUAAGUGAAUAAAAAUGAAACAAGAUGUACAGCCAUUAUUAUCAUGUAUCUGCCCCCAAGUAAAGCAAUAAUUCAAGGUCAAACAACUUAGAAUAGACAGCACCUAAUAGUCUUGGUAAAUAGAGCAGAUCAAUAAAUAUAUAUUGAUUGGUUGAUUGAAUAAAAACUGCUUGCAGUUAUUUUAGAAAAAUCAAAGUCACUUGGGAAGUUAUGUAUGUAAUUUCUUGAACUAAGCAAAUAUGAAUUCCUUUAGAAACAAUAAAAAGCAAAACUUUUCUGAAAAGUCAUCUUUAAAUCCUAAACAAUGACAUUUUAUAAAAUCAUAUAAGAUAGUGUUUGUAUAUAGCAAAACCUAAAUUGGAAAUAAAUAAAAUGUGGAAAUAAGAAUGUCUCUGGAUAAAAAUGUUACAUUUUACAUCCUUGAUAGUUUUUGAUAGGUGGUUGGAAUAGAGAAAAUCC
Cynocephalus volans (Philippine flying lemur) is the source of this 2448-nucleotide long non-coding RNA. RefSeq lists it as uncharacterized. The transcript is spliced from 6 exons. Lineage: Eukaryota; Metazoa; Chordata; Mammalia; Dermoptera; Cynocephalidae. The record is from RefSeq and is a predicted model, not a curated record.